This 691-nucleotide ribosomal RNA is filed under the name uncultured archaeon. Its description in RNAcentral is "bacterial SSU rRNA". It matches the Rfam family "Archaeal small subunit ribosomal RNA", at positions 648 to 1338 of the family's 1478-position model. The record is from RNAcentral.
CCUGGGGGACCACCAGUGGCGAAGGCGCCCGGCUGGAACGCGCCCGACGGUGAGGGGCGUAAGCCGGGGGAGCGAACCGGAUUAGAUACCCGGGUAGUCCCGGCUGUAAACUAUGCGGGCCAGGUGUCGGGCGGGCGUUAGAGCCCGCCCGGUGCCGCAGGGAAGCCGUUAAGCCCGCCGCCUGGGGAGUACGGCCGCAAGGCUGAAACUUAAAGGAAUUGGCGGGGGGGCACACAAGGGGUGGAGCCUGCGGCUCAAUUGGAGUCAACGCCGGGAACCUCUGCCGGGGGCGACAGCAGGAUGACGGCCAGGCUAACGACCUUGCCCGACGCGCUGAGGGGAGGUGCAUGGCCGUCGCCAGCUCGUGCUGUGAAGUGUCCUGUUAAGUCAGGCAACGAGCGAGACCCCCGCCCCUAGUUGCGACCCUGCGGGCGACCGCGGGGGCACACUAGGGGGACUGCCGCCGCUAAGGCGGAGGAAGGAGGGGGCCACGGCAGGUCAGCAUGCCCCUAAACCCCCGGGCUGCACGCGGGCUACAAUGGCGGGGACAGCGGGAUCCGACCCCGAAAGGGGGAGGCAAUCCCGUAAACCCCGCCCCAGUAGGAAUCGAGGGCUGCAACUCGCCCUCGUGAACGUGGAAUCCCUAGUAACCGCGUGUCACCAACGCGCGGUGAAUACGUCCCUGCCCCUU